UUAUACAUUUUUAUAGAUCAUAUUCCCUUUAUUUUACUUUAGGGUUCUCUUUUUCCGAUCUUUCUUUGAAAUUUGGAAUCCAGAACUCACCGAUCCAGCUCAGCUUGCCGGUUCAACUCGACUCUCUCAACCCACUACUGUUCUUGUCCAUUUCCGAAGUGAGCUGUUCUUACUCGCUUUCUCCCCCCCUACUUUUCGUGUGUGUACUUUUUCCUUCUUUUUUUUUCUGAGGGGGGGUGUUAAUUUGGUGAGAUUUUAGUAAAGAAUGAAAGAAAAUGAGUGGUUUUUCUUGCAUGAAUUCGUGGGAAAUUGAUAAGAUCACGCAUAAAAAGUAAACAAGGGGGGAAAACCCAUUAUUGUACUGCUUGUAGAUCUUCAAAUUUGCAGUAUCAUUUCAUUCGUAUUCGUAUUUACAAGCUUGGAUUUUUUCGGUUUAGGGUUUUUCUUUGGGGAUUAAGAUGGACCCAUCUGGUAUUGGUAAUGAUUGCAAGAACGAAUUUUGUAUUGAUAAUUUGAUAGCUGCAAGAAAGUCACUGAAGCUUAGCUUAGAGAAAUCAAAAACCCUAGGAUUGGCUCUUGAAAAGGCUGGACCUAGGUUAGAGGAGAUCAACCAACGAUUGCCUUCCUUAGAAGCUGCUGUUCGCCCGAUUCGUGCUGAUAAGGAUGCACUUGUUGCUGUCGGGGGCCAUAUUAACCGAGCCGUGGGCCCUGCUGCGGCAGUGCUUAAGGUUUUCGAUGCUGUUCAUGGACUUGAAAAGUCCCUACUAUCAGAUCCCAGGAACGAUCUUCCUGGGUAUUUAUCGGUGUUGAAACGCCUUGAAGAGGCAUUAAAGUUUCUGGGUGAUAAUUGCGGAUUGGCAAUUCAAUGGUUAGAAGAUAUAAUUGAGUAUUUGGAGGAUAACAGAGUUGCUGAUGGACGGUACCUGUUGAAUAUGAAGACCUAUCUCAAGGGCUUAAGGGAGUUGCAAAAUGACGGGGAAAGAGUACAUCUUGAUGGUGGGCUUUUGGAUGCUGCAUUGGAUAAACUGGAAAAUGAGUUUAGAAGACUAUUGAUGGAGCAUAGUGUGCCACUUCCAAUGUCAUCGCCGCCACUUGGUGAACAGGCAUGCAUUGCACCAUCGCCCUUACCUGUGACUGUUAUUCAGAAGUUGCAAGCGAUUCUUGGUAGGCUGAUUGCUAAUAAUAGACUUGAGAAGUGCAUUGCAAUCUACGUUGAAGUUCGUAGUUCAAACGUCAGAGCUAGCUUGAAGGCACUUGAUUUGGAUUAUCUUGAGAUCUCAGUCUCAGAGUUCAAUGAUAUGCAGAGCAUAGAGGGGUAUAUAGGACAGUGGGGAAAACAUUUGGAGUUUGCAGUAAAGCAUUUGUUUGAGGCAGAGUUCAAGCUUUGCAAUGAUGUUUUCGAGAGGAUUGGCUUGGAUGUUUGGAUGGUUUGUUUUGCAAAAAUAGCUGCACAAGCUGGUAUUCUUGCAUUUCUUCAGUUCGGAAAGACUAUUACGGAGAGUAAGAAAGAACCUAUAAAGCUUCUCAAGCUAUUGGACAUAUUUGCAUCUUUGAACAAAUUGAGAUUGGAUUUCAAUAGGCUCUUUGGGGGAGCAGCAUGUAUUGAGAUCCAAAACCUGACAAGAGAUCUCAUCAAGAGGGUUAUUGACGGCGCAGCCGAAAUUUUCUGGGAGAUCUUUGUUCAGGUAGAAUUACAGAGGCAGAGCCCUCCUCCUCAGGAUGGGAGCAUUCCAAAAUUGGUGAGUACUAUAACUGAUUACUGCAAUAAACUUCUUGGUGAUGAUUAUAGGCCGAUCCUGACCCAGGUUCUUGUCAUUCACCAAAGUUGGAAGCAUAAAAAAUUCCAGGAGAUGAUCCUUGUAAAUGAGGUUUCGAAAAUAAUAAAGGCCGUCGAUUUGAAUUUGGAUACAUGGAUGAAGGCAUAUGGUGAUACUACCCUUUCUUGUCUUUUUGCCAUGAACUGCCACUGGCAUCUAUACAAAGACUUAAAGGGAACAAAAGUUGGAGAGCUCAUGGGAGAUUCUUGGUUGAAAGAACAUGUAGAGUACAAGGAGUAUUAUUCUGCUGUCUUCUUUAAAGGGAGUUGGGCUAAGCUCCCUGUUCAUUUAAGCCGUGAAGGGUUAAUUAUGUUCUCAGGCGGUCGUGCCAGUGCUCGUGAUCUUGUAAAGAAAAGGCUCAAGACUUUUAAUGAAGCUUUUGAUGAAAUGUAUAGAAAGCAGUCUGGUUGGGUUAUCCCAGAAAGAGAUUUGAGGGAGAAGACAUGCCAACUAAUAGUGCAGACAGUUCUACCUGUUUAUCGAAGCUAUAUGCAAACUUAUGGGCCAUUAGUAGAGCAAGAUGCAAGUUCCAGUAAGUAUGCAAAGUACACAGUGCAGGGGUUGGAACAAAUGCUCCUUUCUCUUUUUCUACCGAGGCGGGAAAGGUACGGCAGUUUCAAAGGUAGGCCAACAGGCAGCAAAAUUGAUAAUGGGGUAGAUCUUCGCCGGACUGCAUCAGCUGUUGCGUGAUUGUCCAAUCUAUUUAUGUCGCGGUGGUUAAAAUGUUCAUGUUUUAGAGGUUUAAUCUUAUAUCUUGUACAUAUCAGUGUUCUUAGGGCGGAGGUAGAACUAUUCUCCAUCAUUCAUCCUUUGCCCUUGGACAGCACAUGCUUUGGACAUUUGACAUUUCAUUACUCAAGGAGUUGCCAGAAUUUGAUGUGUGAAGCAGAUUUUGCUUUGUCAACUGUAAAGCAAAUGUAGGGUGGGAUUGGGGGACAUAACAAGCAAGAACAGUGUUGGGUUGGUAGAUAAGAGAAUAACAUCCAGGAUGGGGUGUACGUGUCGUUGAGAACUUACCUUCCUCAGUUCCUCUGCAUUGGGAAUAAAGUGUUGGGCUGUUUCUUGGAUUAUUUUUACUUAUUAGAGAAUAAAUAUAGAUGUUCCUCCUUCAAA
Molecule: RNA transcript, 2930 nt
Organism: Gossypium raimondii (Peruvian cotton)
Lineage: Eukaryota; Viridiplantae; Streptophyta; Magnoliopsida; Malvales; Malvaceae
Gene name: exocyst complex component EXO70A1
Exons: 2
Source: RefSeq, a predicted model, not a curated record